RNAcentral lists this ribosomal RNA (253 nucleotides) under uncultured Parachlamydia sp. RNAcentral's name for it is "partial 16S ribosomal RNA". It matches the Rfam family "Bacterial small subunit ribosomal RNA", at positions 524 to 776 of the family's 1533-position model. Lineage: Bacteria; Pseudomonadati; Chlamydiota; Chlamydiia; Parachlamydiales; Parachlamydiaceae. The record is from RNAcentral.
UACGGAGGGUGCAAGCAUUAAUCGGAUUUAUUGGGCGUAAAGGGCGCGUAGGCUGGGAAAAAAGUCAGAUGUGAAAUCCCGGGGCUCAACCUCGGAACUGCAUUUGAAACUCUUUCUCUAGAGGGUAGGCGGAGAAAACGGAAUUCCACAAGUAGCGGUGAAAUGCGUAGAUAUGUGGAAGAACACCGGUGGCGAAGGCGGUUUUCUAGCUUAUUCCUGACGCUGAUGCGCGAAAGCAAGGGGAUCAAACAGG